GCGGAUAUGGCGGAAUUGGCAGACGCGCUAGAUUCAGGUUCUAGUGAGGUUAAACUCAUACAGGUUCAAGUCCUGCUAUCCGCACCA
Molecule: transfer RNA, 87 nt
Filed under: Clostridium sp.
Lineage: Bacteria; Bacillati; Bacillota; Clostridia; Eubacteriales; Clostridiaceae
Also listed under: 3 other names
Description: tRNA-Leu
Rfam family: tRNA
About the family: Transfer RNA (tRNA) molecules are approximately 80 nucleotides in length. Their secondary structure includes four short double-helical elements and three loops (D, anti-codon, and T loops).
Source: RNAcentral